GCCAGGCGUGGUGGCGCACACCUGUAAUCCCAGAUACUAAGGAGUCUGAGGCAGGAGGAUCACUUGAGCCCAGGAGGCAGAGGUUGCAGUGAGCCAAGAUUGUGCCACUGUACUCCAGCCUGGGCAACAGAGUGAGACUCUGUCUCAA
Molecule: non-coding RNA, 148 nt
Filed under: Homo sapiens (human)
Lineage: Eukaryota; Metazoa; Chordata; Mammalia; Primates; Hominidae
Source: Rfam by way of RNAcentral